AUUGAACGCUGGCGGAAUGCUUUACACAUGCAAGUCGAACGGCAGCACGGACUUCGGUCUGGUGGCGAGUGGCGAACGGGUGAGUAAUGUAUCGGAACGUGCCCAGUCGUGGGGGAUAACGUAGUGAAAAUUACGCUAAUACCGCAUACGAUCUAUGGAUGAAAGCGGGGGAUCGCAAGACCUCGCGCGAUUGGAGCGGCCGAUAUCAGAUUAGGUAGUUGGUGGGGUAAAGGCCCACCAAGCCAACGAUCUGUAGCUGGUCUGAGAGGACGACCAGCCACACUGGAACGGAGACACGGUCCAGACUCCUACGGGAGGCAGCAGUGGGGAAUUUUGGACAAUGGGCGAAAGCCUGAUCCAGCCAUUCCGCGUGCAGGAUGAAGGCCCUCGGGUUGUAAACUGCUUUUGUACAGAACGAAAAGGUUUCUACUAAUACUAGGAGCUCAUGACGGUACUGUAAGAAUAAGAGGUUGCUAACUCUGUGCCAGCCGCCGCCGUAA
Molecule: ribosomal RNA, 500 nt
Filed under: uncultured bacterium
Lineage: Bacteria
Description: partial 16S ribosomal RNA
Rfam family: Bacterial small subunit ribosomal RNA
Source: RNAcentral